AUAGACGUACCCCGGUAGUCCACGACCGUAAACGAUGAGUGCUAGGUGUUAGGGGUUUCGAUACCCUUGGUGCCGAAGUUAACACAAGUAAGCACUCCGCCUGGGGAGUACGGUCGCAAGACUGAAACUCAAAGGAAUUGACGGGGACCCGCACAAGCAGUGGAGUAUGUGGUUUAAUUCGAAGCAACGCGAAGAACCUUACCAGGUCUUGACAUCCAACUAACGAAGCAGAGAUGCAUUAGGUGCCCUUCGGGGAAAGUUGAGACAGGUGGUGCAUGGUUGUCGUCAGCUCGUGUCGUGAGAUGUUGGGUUAAGUCCCGCAACGAGCGCAACCCUUGACUUUAGUUGCCAGCAGGUAGAGCUGGGCACUCUAGAGUGACUGCCGGUGACAAACCGGAGGAAGGUGGGGAUGACGUCAAAUCAUCAUGCCCCUUAUGACCUGGGCUACACACGUACUACAAUGGCCGGUACAAAGGGAAGCGAAGGAGCGAUCCGGAGCCAAUCUCAGCAAAGCCGGUCUCAGUUCGGAUUGCAGG
This 536-nucleotide ribosomal RNA is filed under the name uncultured bacterium. RNAcentral's name for it is "bacterial SSU rRNA". It matches the Rfam family "Bacterial small subunit ribosomal RNA", at positions 778 to 1304 of the family's 1533-position model. The record is from RNAcentral.